Molecule: microRNA precursor, 57 nt
Organism: Bos indicus x Bos taurus (hybrid cattle)
Lineage: Eukaryota; Metazoa; Chordata; Mammalia; Artiodactyla; Bovidae
Source: Ensembl
AUGGACUGUCACCUGAGGAGCCUAAUAGGCAACAGUCCCUCAGGCAACAGUCCAAAA